UACGGGGGGGGCAAGCGUUGUUCGGAAUUACUGGGCGUAAAGGGCUCGUAGGCGGCCAACUAAGUCAGACGGGAAAUCCCUCGGCUUAACCGGGGAACUGCGUCUGAUACUGGAUGGCUUGAGGUUGGGAGAGGGAUGCGGAAUUCCAGGUGUAGCGGUGAAAUGCGUAGAUAUCAGGAGGAACACCUGUGGCGAAAGCGGCGCACUGGACCACAACUGACGCUGAGGCGCGAAAGCUAGGGGAGCAAACAGG
RNAcentral lists this ribosomal RNA (253 nucleotides) under uncultured bacterium. RNAcentral's name for it is "partial 16S ribosomal RNA". It matches the Rfam family "Bacterial small subunit ribosomal RNA", at positions 524 to 776 of the family's 1533-position model. The record is from RNAcentral.